This 555-nucleotide long non-coding RNA is filed under the name Lotus japonicus. RNAcentral describes it as "long non-coding RNA (LJAP_LNC000660)". The record is from RNAcentral. Lineage: Eukaryota; Viridiplantae; Streptophyta; Magnoliopsida; Fabales; Fabaceae.
GGAAAUUCAGUAACUUUUUACAUUUGAAAAGUAAAAGCAAUCAUGGAAGAAGCUGCUAGAAGUAGCUUUUGUGCUAUGAAAAGUUACUUUAAAAUUAAUAAAAAUAGAUCCAAAAAUUAAAUAAAUACAAAAGAGUGGGUGUAAUAAUAGAUCUAAGCCUAACCUAAGGUUUGGAAAAUAUCGCUAUUGGAUAUUAUAAGCUGAAAUAUCAGCUGGCAGAUAUAUACAACAAAAUGGCUACUAUAAGAUAUUAAGAUCGCUCACUAUUAAUUGAAUGGAGACAUUGGAUCAGAGUUCAGACGGAUGUCAAUGUCCAUUACUACAAUUCUACAAACGGUGACCAUUUUUUCCCAAUAUAUCUCUAUUGAGUAUUGACGGUCAUGAGAUUAACACUCCAGAUUUUUUGAGAUCACAUUAAAUGAAUCGGUUUCUUUGAAUAAAUCCUUUUUAUACGCAUGGGUCGAACUUUGAACUAUAUACUUAAGAAAUAAGAAGUCAAACUAUCUAUACCAAAAAAAUUGAAUAACUAUAACAAUUUUUAGAUUAAAAAUACUU